This 1575-nucleotide ribosomal RNA is filed under the name Escherichia coli. RNAcentral's name for it is "partial 23S ribosomal RNA". It matches the Rfam family "Bacterial large subunit ribosomal RNA", at positions 682 to 2239 of the family's 2925-position model. Lineage: Bacteria; Pseudomonadati; Pseudomonadota; Gammaproteobacteria; Enterobacterales; Enterobacteriaceae. The record is from RNAcentral.
UCUUAACUGGGCGUUAAGUUGCAGGGUAUAGACCCGAAACCCGGUGAUCUAGCCAUGGGCAGGUUGAAGGUUGGGUAACACUAACUGGAGGACCGAACCGACUAAUGUUGAAAAAUUAGCGGAUGACUUGUGGCUGGGGGUGAAAGGCCAAUCAAACCGGGAGAUAGCUGGUUCUCCCCGAAAGCUAUUUAGGUAGCGCCUCGUGAAUUCAUCUCCGGGGGUAGAGCACUGUUUCGGCAAGGGGGUCAUCCCGACUUACCAACCCGAUGCAAACUGCGAAUACCGGAGAAUGUUAUCACGGGAGACACACGGCGGGUGCUAACGUCCGUCGUGAAGAGGGAAACAACCCAGACCGCCAGCUAAGGUCCCAAAGUCAUGGUUAAGUGGGAAACGAUGUGGGAAGGCCCAGACAGCCAGGAUGUUGGCUUAGAAGCAGCCAUCAUUUAAAGAAAGCGUAAUAGCUCACUGGUCGAGUCGGCCUGCGCGGAAGAUGUAACGGGGCUAAACCAUGCACCGAAGCUGCGGCAGCGACGCUUAUGCGUUGUUGGGUAGGGGAGCGUUCUGUAAGCCUGUGAAGGUGUGCUGUGAGGCAUGCUGGAGGUAUCAGAAGUGCGAAUGCUGACAUAAGUAACGAUAAAGCGGGUGAAAAGCCCGCUCGCCGGAAGACCAAGGGUUCCUGUCCAACGUUAAUCGGGGCAGGGUGAGUCGACCCCUAAGGCGAGGCCGAAAGGCGUAGUCGAUGGGAAACAGGUUAAUAUUCCUGUACUUGGUGUUACUGCGAAGGGGGGACGGAGAAGGCUAUGUUGGCCGGGCGACGGUUGUCCCGGUUUAAGCGUGUAGGCUGGUUUUCCAGGCAAAUCCGGAAAAUCAAGGCUGAGGCGUGAUGACGAGGCACUACGGUGCUGAAGCAACAAAUGCCCUGCUUCCAGGAAAAGCCUCUAAGCAUCAGGUAACAUCAAAUCGUACCCCAAACCGACACAGGUGGUCAGGUAGAGAAUACCAAGGCGCUUGAGAGAACUCGGGUGAAGGAACUAGGCAAAAUGGUGCCGUAACUUCGGGAGAAGGCACGCUGAUAUGUAGGUGAAGUCCCUCGCGGAUGGAGCUGAAAUCAGUCGAAGAUACCAGCUGGCUGCAACUGUUUAUUAAAAACACAGCACUGUGCAAACACGAAAGUGGACGUAUACGGUGUGACGCCUGCCCGGUGCCGGAAGGUUAAUUGAUGGGGUCAGCGCAAGCGAAGCUCUUGAUCGAAGCCCCGGUAAACGGCGGCCGUAACUAUAACGGUCCUAAGGUAGCGAAAUUCCUUGUCGGGUAAGUUCCGACCUGCACGAAUGGCGUAAUGAUGGCCAGGCUGUCUCCACCCGAGACUCAGUGAAAUUGAACUCGCUGUGAAGAUGCAGUGUACCCGCGGCAAGACGGAAAGACCCCGUGAACCUUUACUAUAGCUUGACACUGAACAUUGAGCCUUGAUGUGUAGGAUAGGUGGGAGGCUUAGAAGUGUGGACGCCAGUCUGCAUGGAGCCGACCUUGAAAUACCACCCUUUAAUGUUUGAUGUUCUAACGUUGACCCGUAAU